This 2037-nucleotide long non-coding RNA is filed under the name Sus scrofa (pig). RNAcentral's name for it is "lncRNA (ENSSSCG00025062253.1)". The record is from RNAcentral. Lineage: Eukaryota; Metazoa; Chordata; Mammalia; Artiodactyla; Suidae.
CCGGCCCGGGAGCGGCUGGGGAGGGGGAGCCCGGCAGGUGCACGGAGCCAGGAGACCCCGGCGCACGCACACCCGCCGGCGGCCUGCAGCGCGGGGCCCGGGCGAGAGCGUGACUGGAGCGAUACCAGCCGGAUGCCACUAACCCUUCGGUCAGCUCUUCCUGGGGUGGACACCUUGCUCCGAGUCUGCUGGGCUUGUUGAGGUUCCCGGCCCCCACGGUGAAUCCCUCUGGUCGCCACCAGGCCCGGAGCAGCCCUGGGGGUCCCCCAGCACACACACACCUCCCCGCCGCUGCCCAGAGGAGGACUACGGACUCAGGGGCCGGUCCUGAGGCUCCCUCUGCUCCUCGACCUGACACGUUGAAACCCAGAGGCGGUCAGGACAGUCUGCCGUGUACUCCUAUCAGGGACGCCAGCCUGAAAUGAGACUCACGGGGUGCAGGCAGAGCCAGGGCAUCCCCAAAUCUGAUGGUUUCCGGUGCCUUCGGCAGUGUGUCCUGUGCCCAGGCGAGCCCGUGUAACUAGUAGGGGACUUGUAUUCAGGCAUAGAAAGAACCACACGUCCAAUACGGAAGGGGUACAUGCUCACGAGAAGUGGGGAACACCCGAGCAGGCGUGAGCAGAGGAGCAAACGUAUGCCUGAAAUGCGUGGAAAGACCUCACCCAUGACACGGAAACGCAGACUUGAGUCAAAAUAAUACUAGGCUACAGCCACCAUACCGGCAAAGAUGAAAGCUGGCAAUAGAGAGCAAGCGAUGGAGAGGGCGUGGGCCCCAGAAUUCUGGAUCACGGCCAGCAGGACAAUAAUUUGCGACCCCUUUGGAAAGCGUGUCCCCUUGGGAAAUGCCUUGUAUUACAAGACUGUUUGUAUUCCGGAAUAAUUGUGUUUAGCAGGACGAAGCCUCCCACGUGUGGCCCAGAGGCAGACAGCAGACGUGCGCCCUGGCCGUGCUCACAGAUCCCACCAUCCGUUCCCUGGGGUGCACGAGACGCCUGGGGCUCCCCCGACGCCUGGGGCUCCCCACAUGCUGUCCGCACGUGGGGGACGUGACCGAGAGGCUGUUCAACGAUUCAGCCACUGCCACACCCAGCGUGGGUGAACCUUGGGAAUUAAACCUUGGGAAUUAAAUGUUGGCUGAGAAGCCUGCCAUGUGACUGAGCCUGAAAACGGGGGGCUGAGGCGCGUGUAGCUGUGCAAUGCUGUGUGUGAGCGUAUUUAGCACUGCAUACACACAUGAAUCCAUUCAGGGGCCCGGGUGCGAGAGCGCAGCUCGGAGCUGGAGGACCGCGGCUGGAUGAGGCCACCAUUCAAAGUCAGUGCCUGGAGGAAGGGACACCCUCGGGAGAAGGCAGCCGUGGCCGGUGGGGGAUGGACCACUCCUCAGGCGGGCUGCUGGCUCUCUGGGCCUCACUGUCCUCCUCAGAGAGCAGGUCUCAAGUCACGUCUCAUGGAGAUAAGCAGCGACAUUGUUACGACAAAGUAUGUAAAACCAGCUGUAAGCUAAGCGUAAUAAAUAUUACACAGAGAUGUAAGUCACUGCUUCUGCCUGCCGAGGGUAUAUGCAGAGACCCAGCCCCGCCACCAGCCGUACACGGAUGUGGCUCUCGGUGUUUUAAACCAUCAGGGUCCUAACAGGGGAAGGCUCUGCCUGUGCAAACCCGCCACCGUGGCGGCUGUGACAGCGUUACCAACCAGCAACGCAGGCCUGUGAAGAAGCGGGACCGGGGAGGGUCCAGGCGGCCGAGCUGGCACAGCCCCAGAGCAGGUCCCGGGUUCCUCCCGCCGCCUGUCUGUCCGCAGCCUCGGAAACGCAGGCACGCAUUCCAGAGAGCUGAGAGCAUUGCAGACUGGUGGUUCGUUAGAGUUGCAUACAUGGAUAAGCCCACCUAUUUUUGCUUUCGAGAAUUCCACUUCUAUUUUUGGUGGAAUAUAAAAGCUUUGACUAUUUCCCAAAGUGGAAAAACACAUUUUUUUUCCUUGAAUGUCUUACGGAUCACGGUUGCCGUUAAAUAAAUGCUUCCCGUCUGGAUGGGCUCA